GAGUGAACCGGGAAGAGCUCAAUUUGAAAUCUGGCGUCCUCAGGGCGUCCGAGUUGUAAUCUAUAGAGGCGUUUUCCGUGCCGGACCGUGUCCAAGUUCCUUGGAACAGGAUAUCAAAGAGGGUGACAAUCCCGUACUUGACACGACGACCGGUGCUCUGUGAUACGUCUUCUACGAGUCGAGUUGUUUGGGAAUGCAGCUCAAAAUGGGUGGUGAGUUCCAUCUAAAGCUAAAUAUUGGCGAGAGACCGAUAGCGAACAAGUACCGUGAGGGAAAGAUGAAAAGCACUUUGGAAAGAGAGUUAAACAGUACGUGAAAUUGUUGAAAGGGAAACGAUUGAAGUCAGUCGUGACCGAGAGGCUCAGCCGGCUCUGCCGGUGUAUUCCCCUCGGUCGGGUCAACAUCAGUUUUGUCCGGUGGAUAAGGGCGGUAGGAAGGUGGCACCCUCGGGUGUGUUAUAGCCUGCCGUCGCAUACAUCGGGUGAGACUGAGGAACGCAGCUCGCCUUUAUGGCCGGGGUUCGCCCACGUCCGAGCUUAGGAUGUUGACAUAAUGGCUUUAAACGACCCGUCUUGAAACACGGACCA
RNAcentral lists this ribosomal RNA (587 nucleotides) under Papiliotrema laurentii. RNAcentral describes it as "partial large subunit ribosomal RNA". It matches the Rfam family "Eukaryotic large subunit ribosomal RNA", at positions 91 to 668 of the family's 3401-position model. Lineage: Eukaryota; Fungi; Basidiomycota; Tremellomycetes; Tremellales; Rhynchogastremaceae. The record is from RNAcentral.